UUUAAGCAAAGAUAAAUGGUCUUUUUGAUUACUUUUAUGACUAUUUUGACUAUCUAAGUUUUGGACGUGUCAAAUAGAUGGCGUGAAAGAAUAUUGUUUGUUGUGUCAGAUACCGGGCUUAUGGCGGCUCGUUGUCUAAAGUUCAGCUACAAUAAAUUCGUUGGAGAAAAUGUGAAAGGUGCAUGAAGCCUGUACUUUCAACUAUUGUGUUAAAAAUCCUGGCAUCCUACUGAAUAUGUCAUCGAAAUGCCAGAGUGGAUUCAUCACUAUUAUUGGCUAAAUCAUUCUAUCCACUACCAGAUCACCAACCCGGUGUGGACCAAUCUCUCAUUCCAUCUUCUAGAGAACCUUGGAUAACUGAUUGGUGGUUUAGUGUGUUCUUAGGUUUCUAAUGUUGCAUGACAGACUUUAUGAGAAGUCAUGUCCAUUGAAGAAAAAGGACUGACUAUACAGUCAAGGUAACCCGUUGGCUGCUACCCUUGAAUACCCUUUUACUUCAUGAAAGUGUAAACAGGCCAUCUUGAUUUGAGGGUAACUCCUUCGCUGCUUAUCGUGGACUUCAUCCAUUGGUGAAAACCAAUAACAACCAGGAGGAAAAAAGUGCGCUGGUUGAACUGGGACUUGCAAGCUCAGCCGGAAGCCUACUAUAUGAUUAGUCGCUGUCGUAAUACCUGUUCCUCAACGCUUCGCUCUUUUUCCGGUUUCUCCUACCAUCUACCUGUCUGCAGUCAAUUAUGGCAGUGUCUUUCCCCUAUCUUGAUUGACUCUAUGUGCGAAUGUUAAAAGCAUGUAAUCACCCAAAUGAGAAAAAGGGCUAGGUUUGUUUUAUUUGGGUAUAAAUUGUUUUAAAACUUGUACCUAUAAAACAAUUGUAUU
Daphnia pulicaria is the source of this 876-nucleotide long non-coding RNA. RefSeq lists it as uncharacterized. The record is from RefSeq and is a predicted model, not a curated record. Lineage: Eukaryota; Metazoa; Arthropoda; Branchiopoda; Diplostraca; Daphniidae. The transcript is spliced from 5 exons.